AACCUUCCUACAAGUGGGGAAUAGCCCAGAGAAAUUUGGAUUAAUACCCCGUAACAUAACGAUGUGGCAUCACAUUGUUAUUAUAGCUUCGGCGCUUGUUGAUGGGUGUGCGGCUGAUUAGAUAGUUGGCGGGGUAACGGCCCACCAAGUCUACGAUCAGUAGCUGAUGUGAGAGCAUGAUCAGCCACACGGGCACUGAGACACGGGCCCGACUCCUACGGGAGGCAGCAGUAAGGAAUAUUGGUCAAUGGACGCAAGUCUGAACCAGCCAUGCCGCGUGAAG
RNAcentral lists this ribosomal RNA (283 nucleotides) under uncultured bacterium. RNAcentral's name for it is "partial 16S ribosomal RNA". It matches the Rfam family "Bacterial small subunit ribosomal RNA", at positions 123 to 406 of the family's 1533-position model. The record is from RNAcentral.